Oreochromis niloticus (Nile tilapia) is the source of this 1381-nucleotide long non-coding RNA. RefSeq lists it as uncharacterized. The transcript is spliced from 2 exons. NCBI's taxonomy places the organism in Eukaryota, Metazoa, Chordata, Actinopteri, Cichliformes, Cichlidae. The record is from RefSeq and is a predicted model, not a curated record.
AUGACCUGUUAGACUGCCUGGUCUCACACACAAGAGCUAAAUGACUUCACAUGUAAAUCCCAUGUUAGGCACUUUACGAUCAGCUUGUUAUACUUGUUACAGCUUGUUACUUUAUGUUACGAUCAGUCUGUUGCAAAAACACAUCAUUUGUUCCCAUUUCUUUGGUUGAAUUUACAAAAAUGCCAGAGAUGACCCAAUUAGACAGGCAUAAAAUUGAAUUUAGUUGUAUCAUCUAACAUUUGCUGACGACCCAUCAGCAUUGGUCUCAGUGGAAGAGUUGCUGCCACACACAAAACAAUUUUUAGAAAGUAAAGCAGGGGAAAAGUCAAAGAGAUGCCAAAUUAUACAAAAACUGGCCUGAAAAGACGUGAAAACAAUAAUUUCCAUCACAGUUUUCCUCAACAAACUUUUUUUUCCUAAAAAGAAAAAAAAAAACAAUAACUAAAUAUAAAUGUCAGAAGAAAAUUGUGUAUAUGUUAUCAGCUACAUGAAAUGUGCUCUUUUAGGAUCACUGAGCAAAUGUCUACGUGACUUUUCACCUAAUAACUUUUGUGAUGAUAAACUUGUUUACCAACUAGCAGCUUCUUCUUUUCUAGAACAUACAGAUAGAAAAGGGGAACCUCAGCUCUGAGUUCUAAGAAUAACUUUGUUAUCUUUGUACAGAGACGCACACAUAGACGCACAGAAAAGUAUAAAUAAAGCACGCAGACAGUGAUGAGACGCAGGUCGUGCGUCCAUGACUGCCCUUGCGAGUGAAAGAAUCUGCAGUAUUUGUGUUUUCUAACUCAGGGGUCUUAGCUGAAGAAUUACGGGGUGAUUUAAAGAAAUCCCCUAUCAAUAAACUAAUGAAGGAGGACAAAAACUGCGAUGAAAUGUAUUGACACCUUUGUCAACGAAUGAAAAUGAGAUUUAAAAAAAAAUCUUGGAGAUAUUAAAUCUUGGAGAUAUUAAGCAGAACUAAUUAAGUUGCAUAGAAGUGCGGGACAAGCUUGGAAGUGAUCCAAUCAGAAGCAAUUUCCUUGUGCAGCAAGGUUAGACCAGUGACAGUUUAAAAGUAUUUUCAUUGGGUUAGACGUGAACGAUUGAGCUGCCCCUGGAAAUGGAACAGGUUUGGAGGGGGUUUUAAGGCAUCCGUAAAACAUGAGUUUAAUCUGCCAUUAAAUACCAUCUGGAAGAACUCUGAUUGGUAAGGCUUCAGUUUUCAGCAUGAUAAUAAUCCCAAACAAACUGCCAUUGCAGUGAAAGUGUACCUAGUUAGAAAAAAAAAACAGUGGAACACUAUUAGUUUGCUCCUCAAAUAUGAUAAAAAAUUUGAUUCUGAUGAGAAAAGUGGAUAAAUGAGAAAGUGUUGGUUUUAAUACCUGACGUUUAGAUUUCAGGA